RNAcentral lists this microRNA precursor (78 nucleotides) under Schistosoma haematobium. Its description in RNAcentral is "mir-3492 microRNA precursor family". It matches the Rfam family "mir-3492 microRNA precursor family". Lineage: Eukaryota; Metazoa; Platyhelminthes; Trematoda; Strigeidida; Schistosomatidae. The record is from Rfam by way of RNAcentral.
AAUCUUCUGUAUCCGCACUGAGAAUUUGUCACACACCAGACCGCAAGGGCUGAUGAGACUUCCAAGAUAAGUGAAGCA